GAUGAACGCUGGCGGCGUGCCUAAUACAUGCAAGUCGAGCGAACAGACGAGGAGCUUGCUCCUCUGACGUUAGCGGCGGACGGGUGAGUAACACGUGGAUAACCUACCUAUAAGACUGGGAUAACUUCGGGAAACCGGAGCUAAUACCGGAUAAUAUAUUGAACCGCAUGGUUCAAUAGUGAAAGACGGUUUUGCUGUCACUUAUAGAUGGAUCCGCGCCGUAUUAGCUAGUUGGUAAGGUAACGGCUUACCAAGGCAACGAUGCGUAGCCGACCUGAGAGGGUGAUCGGCCACACUGGAACUGAGACACGGUCCAGACUCCUACGGGAGGCAGCAGUAGGGAAUCUUCCGCAAUGGGCGAAAGCCUGACGGAGCAAAGCCGCGUGAGUGAUGAAGGUCUUCGGAUCGUAAAACUCUGUUAUUAGGGAAGAACAAAUGUGUAAGUAACUAUGCACGUCUUGACGGUACCUAAUCAGAAAGCCACGGCUAACUACGUG
Molecule: ribosomal RNA, 497 nt
Filed under: uncultured bacterium
Lineage: Bacteria
Description: partial 16S ribosomal RNA
Rfam family: Bacterial small subunit ribosomal RNA
Source: RNAcentral